Non-coding RNA from Pelobates cultripes (western spadefoot toad), 108 nucleotides. The record is from the annotation of a GenBank genome assembly. Lineage: Eukaryota; Metazoa; Chordata; Amphibia; Anura; Pelobatidae.
UGUAUGUGUGUGUGUGGGAGGGGCAAUGUGUGUGUGUGAUUAUAAAAAAGCCCCCCUACCCUUCUUAUCACACACACACACACAUUGCCCCCCCCACACACAUACACU